Arachis duranensis is the source of this 254-nucleotide long non-coding RNA. RefSeq lists it as uncharacterized. The record is from RefSeq and is a predicted model, not a curated record. The transcript is spliced from 3 exons. NCBI's taxonomy places the organism in Eukaryota, Viridiplantae, Streptophyta, Magnoliopsida, Fabales, Fabaceae.
AGUUAAAGGAAACCUGAAACUUCUGAUGCCACCACCAUAAUCAUUGGUCGUCUAGGUUUCUUAUGUUUCUGAGAUUAAAGUGGGUACUGAUUUUUCUCUCACCAGUUUUUUGCUAUUACUUUUCAACAAGCGCUUGUUGAGUUUAACUAGAAACAAUGGAUAAAUAUUGGAUUGCUAAGCCACGAAACUCAGAUGAAUACAUAGUCGGUCUAGAAAACUUCUUGGAUUUUGCAUUUCAACAUGGAGCAAUUGAG